Molecule: small RNA, 132 nt
Filed under: uncultured Duodenibacillus sp.
Lineage: Bacteria; Pseudomonadati; Pseudomonadota; Betaproteobacteria; Burkholderiales; Sutterellaceae
Description: HNH endonuclease-associated RNA and ORF (HEARO) RNA
Rfam family: HNH endonuclease-associated RNA and ORF (HEARO) RNA
Source: RNAcentral
GUCAACUACCCCUGCCUAAAGGCAGAGGCUGGAGAAAAGCCUCGGUUGACUAGCCUGAGUGAUUUUCCUUCAAGGAGAAGAACUACGUUGGUUGGGAAUGCAUAGGCACCGCGGGAUGUCCAUCCUAGUCCC